This 435-nucleotide ribosomal RNA is filed under the name uncultured Ruminococcus sp. RNAcentral describes it as "bacterial SSU rRNA". It matches the Rfam family "Bacterial small subunit ribosomal RNA", at positions 341 to 792 of the family's 1533-position model. The record is from RNAcentral. Lineage: Bacteria; Bacillati; Bacillota; Clostridia; Eubacteriales; Oscillospiraceae.
ACGGGAGGCAGCAGUGGGGAAUAUUGCACAAUGGGCGCAAGCCUGAUGCAGCGAUGCCGCGUGAGGGAAGAAGGUUUUCGGAUUGUAAACCCCUGUCAUAAGGGACGAAAAAAGACGGUACCUCAGAAGGAAGCUCCGGCUAACUACGUGCCAGCAGCCGCGGUAAUACGUAGGGAGCAAGCGUUAUCCGGAAUUACUGGGUGUAAAGGGAGUGUAGGCGGGACUGUAAGUCAGAUGUGAAAUAUACCGGCCCAACUGGUAGACUGCAUUUGAAACUGCGGUUCUUAAGUGAAGUAGAGGUAAGCGGAAUUCCUAGUGUAGCGGUGAAAUGCGUAGAUAUUAGGAGGAACAUCAGUGGCGAAGGCGGCUUACUGGGCUUUAACUGACGCUGAGGCUCGAAAGCGUGGGGAGCAAACAGGAUUAGAUACCCUGGUA